UCGAGAAUCUUCGUCAAUGGACGAAAGUCUGACCGAGCGACGCCGCGUGCGGGAUGAAGGUCUUCGGAUUGUAAACCGCUGUCAGAGGGGAUGAAGUAUAUGAGAGCUAUCUCUUGUAUUUGACAGAGCCUCAGAGGAAGCACGGGCUAAGUUCGUGCCAGCAGCCGCGGUAAUACGAACUGUGCGAACGUUAUUCGGAAUCACUGGGCUUAAAGGGUGCGUAGGCGGUUUUCUAAGUCACGUGUGAAAUCUUCCGGCUCAACCGGAAAACUGCGCGUGAUACUGGAUAACUUGAGUGAGGUAGGGGUGUGUGGAACUUCCGGUGGAGCGGUGAAAUGUGUAGGGAUCGGAAGGAACGCCAGCAGCGAAAGCGGCACACUGGGCCUUUUCUGACGCUGAGGCACGAAAGCUAGGGGAGUGAACG
This 424-nucleotide ribosomal RNA is filed under the name uncultured bacterium. RNAcentral's name for it is "bacterial SSU rRNA". It matches the Rfam family "Bacterial small subunit ribosomal RNA", at positions 355 to 774 of the family's 1533-position model. The record is from RNAcentral.